This 1342-nucleotide ribosomal RNA is filed under the name uncultured bacterium. RNAcentral describes it as "bacterial SSU rRNA". It matches the Rfam family "Bacterial small subunit ribosomal RNA", at positions 28 to 1381 of the family's 1533-position model. The record is from RNAcentral.
GACGAACGCUGGCGGCGUGCUUAACACAUGCAAGUCGAACGGUAAGGCUCCAGCUUGCUGGGGUACACGAGUGGCGAACGGGUGAGUAACACGUGGGUGACCUGCCCUGCACUUCGGGAUAAGCCUGGGAAACUGGGUCUAAUACCGGAUAGGACCGCACCGUGAGGGUGUGGUGGAAAGUUUUUUCGGUGUGGGAUGGGCCCGCGGCCUAUCAGCUUGUUGGUGGGGUAAUGGCCUACCAAGGCGGCGACGGGUAGCCGGCCUGAGAGGGUGGACGGCCACAUUGGGACUGAGACACGGCCCAGACUCCUACGGGAGGCAGCAGUGGGGAAUAUUGCACAAUGGGCGGAAGCCUGAUGCAGCGACGCCGCGUGGGGGAUGACGGCCUUCGGGUUGUAAACUCCUUUCACCAUCGACGAAGGGUUUCUGACGGUAGAUGGAGAAGAAGCACCGGCUAACUACGUGCCAGCAGCCGCGGUAAUACGUAGGGUGCGAGCGUUGUCCGGAAUUACUGGGCGUAAAGAGCUCGUAGGUGGUUUGUCGCGUCGUCUGUGAAAUUCCGGGGCUUAACUCCGGGCGUGCAGGCGAUACGGGCAUAACUUGAGUACUGUAGGGGAGACUGGAAUUCCUGGUGUAGCGGUGAAAUGCGCAGAUAUCAGGAGGAACACCGGUGGCGAAGGCGGGUCUCUGGGCAGUAACUGACGCUGAGGAGCGAAAGCAUGGGGAGCGAACAGGAUUGGAUACCCUGGUAGUCCAUGCCGUAAACGGUGGGCGCUAGGUGUGGGUUUCCUUCCACGGGAUCCGUGCCGUAGCUAACGCAUUAAGCGCCCCGCCUGGGGAGUACGGCCGCAAGGCUAAAACUCAAAGGAAUUGACGGGGGCCCGCACAAGCGGCGGAGCAUGUGGAUUAAUUCGAUGCAACGCGAAGAACCUUACCUGGGCUUGACAUACUGAGGACCGGUAUAGAGAUAUACCCUCUUCUUCGGAGGCCUCAAUACAGGUGGUGCAUGGUUGUCGUCAGCUCGUGUCGUGAGAUGUUCAGUUAAGUCUGGCAACGAGCGCAACCCCUAUCUUUAGUUACCAGCAUUUCGGAUGGGGACUCUAAAGAGACUGCCGAUGAUAAAUCGGAGGAAGGUGGGGAUGACGUCAAAUCAUCAUGCCCUAUAUGCCCUGGGCUACACACGUGCUACAAUGGAAGAUACAAAGGGAAGCGAAAUAGUGAUAUUAAGCAAACCUCAAAAAGUCUUUCCCAGUUCGGAUUGUACUCUGCAACUCGAGUACAUGAAGAUGGAGUUGCUAGUAAUCGCAGAUCAGAAUGCUGCGGUGAAUGCGUUCCCGGGUCU